Molecule: long non-coding RNA, 1460 nt
Filed under: Capra hircus (goat)
Lineage: Eukaryota; Metazoa; Chordata; Mammalia; Artiodactyla; Bovidae
Description: lncRNA (ENSCHIG00010011986.1)
Source: RNAcentral
AGAAAGAUGAAAAAACCAAUUCAAAGUUGAAAUAAGAUUAUUAAGUCAGAUACAAAACUGGUUAAUGGACCUAUCUUCUCUCUGGGAAAGAAAUCAUUUGCUUAUUAGUUUUCUGUAAGUUAACAUAGAACUCUAUAAAGCAGUAAAAUGUCUGUACCCUAAUUCAUAGUAAAUCAAGGACUUCCCUGGUCAUCCAGCGGUUAAGAAUCUGCCUUGUACUGAAGGGUUGAGAGUUCAAUCCCUGGUCGGCAAACUAAGAGCUCACAUGCUACAGAGCAACAAAGCCCAAACGCCGCAAGGAAAGAUCCAUCAUGAUGCAAUGAGGAUCCCUCAUCCCACAGCUAAGACCAACAUGGCCAAGUUAAUAAAUAUUUUAAAAAACCAGUAAAUCAAACUAAGUUAUAUUCUCUCAGAAAGUCAGUUAACCUUUUAGGCAGGCUUGUUACAACAAUGCUCUGUGCUAGCCUGCUCAGUCACUAAGUCAUUUUGUGACCCAUGUAGCCCGCCAGGCUCCUCUGUCUGCAGGAUUUUCCAGACAAGAAUACUGGAGUGGGUUGCCAUUUUUUUUACUCAUUUAAUAAAUAUUUAUUUACUAAAUAUCUCCUUUGUGUCAGACAUUUCAAGAAUCUUGUCAUAUACUCCGAAUAAUACUGAUGAAGUACUAGCCUUCCUGCAGCUUAUGUUCUCAAAGAAAGAGGUAGAGAAUGAACUUGUAACUUCAGCAUAGUUAUGAACAGUGCCCCUGUCACUCUCAGUGUUCCACUGGAGGUGAUACCUUAUAAGAUCCCUCUUUUCAUACUGUUGAAAUAAUACACAGGGUAAAGAAAAAGAGAGUAUGGGGGAGGGUAGGCUGUGACUAUUAAUAAAGUCAGUGAAGCUUUAAUGAGAAAUGAUGAAGCAAAGCCUGUAGACAGCACAGGGAAGAGUGGUCCAGGCAAGCGCAGCAGCAAAUGCAGACUCCGAUGCAGGGAGGCCCCAGUAUUUUCUAAUGUUAAUAUUAUUUUCUUGAAGGAGGCAGGAAAGGCUUUAAGCAGGGGAGUGACGUGGUCUCAUCUGUGUUUUAGAAAGAUUACUCUGGGGGAAGUUAAGGAGGAUGGAUGACAGGAGAGAAUAUCAGAGGCAAGUAGUCAAGUCACAGGCUGUAACAGUAAAUAGGAAGUAGGAAAGGCCUGCCCCAUACAAAACAGUGACAGUGAGGAUGGAGGGAAUUUGGAUAUCUGAAAAGUAGAAGAGACAAGCUCUGACGUCCUUUAGAAUGUGGGAGAUGCAGGUGUGGGAACAGCCCUAGAUAGAGCUCUUGGAUUAGGCCCUCAAGGUUAGUUUUCUUCCUGAAGUGCUCUCCCUCCACUCCCCAGUAAGAAAAAGGCCAUCGCAAUACAUUUCCUUUUAAAGUUUUAUUAAAGUUUAAUGGAACAAUUAAUAUUUUUUCUUUUUUUGUUGUUAAUCCCAGUACAAAAAUA